Molecule: ribosomal RNA, 253 nt
Filed under: uncultured bacterium
Lineage: Bacteria
Description: partial 16S ribosomal RNA
Rfam family: Bacterial small subunit ribosomal RNA
Source: RNAcentral
UACGAAGGGGGCUAGCGUUGUUCGGAAUCACUGGGCGUAAAGCGCACGUAGGCGGAUCUUUAAGUCAGGGGUGAAAUCCCGAGGCUCAACCUCGGAACUGCCUUUGAUACUGGGGAUCUCGAGUCCGGGAGAGGUGAGUGGAACUGCGAGUGUAGAGGUGAAAUUCGUAGAUAUUAGGAAGAACACCAGUGGCGAAGGCGGCUCACUGGCCCGGUACUGACGCUGAGGCGCGAAAGCGUGGGGAGCAAACAGG